GAUGAACGCUGGCGGCGUGCCUAAUACAUGCAAGUAGAACGCUGAAGCUUGGUGCUUGCACCGAGCGGAUGAGUUGCGAACGGGUGAGUAACGCGUAGGUAACCUGCCUCUUAGCGGGGGAUAACUAUUGGAAACGAUAGCUAAUACCGCAUAAAAGUCGAUAUCGCAUGAUAUUGAUUUGAAAGGUGCAAUUGCAUCACUAAGAGAUGGACCUGCGUUGUAUUAGCUAGUUGGUGAGGUAACGGCUCACCAAGGCGACGAUACAUAGCCGACCUGAGAGGGUGAUCGGCCACACUGGGACUGAGACACGGCCCAGACUCCUACGGGAGGCGGCAGUAGGGAAUCUUCGGCAAUGGGGGCAACCCUGACCGAGCAACGCCGCGUGAGUGAAGAAGGUUUUCGGAUCGUAAAGCUCUGUUGUAAGAGAAGAACGAGUGUGAGAGUGGAAAGUUCACACUGUGACGGUAACUUACCAGAAAGGGACGGCUAACUACGUGCCAGCAGCCGCGGUAAUACGUAGGUCCCGAGCGUUAUCCGGAUUUAUUGGGCGUAAAGCGAGCGCAGGCGGUUAGAUAAGUCUGAAGUUAAAGGCUGUGGCUUAACCAUAGUACGCUUUGGAAACUGUUUAACUUGAGUGCAGAAGGGGAGAGUGGAAUUCCAUGUGUAGCGGUGAAAUGCGUAGAUAUAUGGAGGAACACCGGUGGCGAAAGCGGCUCUCUGGUCUGUAACUGACGCUGAGGCUCGAAAGCGUGGGGAGCAAACAGG
RNAcentral lists this ribosomal RNA (765 nucleotides) under uncultured Streptococcus sp. RNAcentral's name for it is "bacterial SSU rRNA". It matches the Rfam family "Bacterial small subunit ribosomal RNA", at positions 28 to 776 of the family's 1533-position model. Lineage: Bacteria; Bacillati; Bacillota; Bacilli; Lactobacillales; Streptococcaceae. The record is from RNAcentral.